Molecule: ribosomal RNA, 1363 nt
Filed under: Limosilactobacillus fermentum
Lineage: Bacteria; Bacillati; Bacillota; Bacilli; Lactobacillales; Lactobacillaceae
Description: bacterial SSU rRNA
Rfam family: Bacterial small subunit ribosomal RNA
Source: RNAcentral
ACGCCGGCGGUGUGCCUAAUACAUGCAAGUCGAACGCGUUGGCCCAAUUGAUUGAUGGUGCUUGCACCUGAUUGAUUUUGGUCGCCAACGAGUGGCGGACGGGUGAGUAACACGUAGGUAACCUGCCCAGAAGCGGGGGACAACAUUUGGAAACAGAUGCUAAUACCGCAUAACAGCGUUGUUCGCAUGAACAACGCUUAAAAGAUGGCUUCUCGCUAUCACUUCUGGAUGGACCUGCGGUGCAUUAGCUUGUUGGUGGGGUAACGGCCUACCAAGGCGAUGAUGCAUAGCCGAGUUGAGAGACUGAUCGGCCACAAUGGGACUGAGACACGGCCCAUACUCCUACGGGAGGCAGCAGUAGGGAAUCUUCCACAAUGGGCGCAAGCCUGAUGGAGCAACACCGCGUGAGUGAAGAAGGGUUUCGGCUCGUAAAGCUCUGUUGUUAAAGAAGAACACGUAUGAGAGUAACUGUUCAUACGUUGACGGUAUUUAACCAGAAAGUCACGGCUAACUACGUGCCAGCAGCCGCGGUAAUACGUAGGUGGCAAGCGUUAUCCGGAUUUAUUGGGCGUAAAGAGAGUGCAGGCGGUUUUCUAAGUCUGAUGUGAAAGCCUUCGGCUUAACCGGAGAAGUGCAUCGGAAACUGGAUAACUUGAGUGCAGAAGAGGGUAGUGGAACUCCAUGUGUAGCGGUGGAAUGCGUAGAUAUAUGGAAGAACACCAGUGGCGAAGGCGGCUACCUGGUCUGCAACUGACGCUGAGACUCGAAAGCAUGGGUAGCGAACAGGAUUAGAUACCCUGGUAGUCCAUGCCGUAAACGAUGAGUGCUAGGUGUUGGAGGGUUUCCGCCCUUCAGUGCCGGAGCUAACGCAUUAAGCACUCCGCCUGGGGAGUACGACCGCAAGGUUGAAACUCAAAGGAAUUGACGGGGGCCCGCACAAGCGGUGGAGCAUGUGGUUUAAUUCGAAGCUACGCGAAGAACCUUACCAGGUCUUGACAUCUUGCGCCAACCCUAGAGAUAGGGCGUUUCCUUCGGGAACGCAAUGACAGGUGGUGCAUGGUCGUCGUCAGCUCGUGUCGUGAGAUGUUGGGUUAAGUCCCGCAACGAGCGCAACCCUUGUUACUAGUUGCCAGCAUUAAGUUGGGCACUCUAGUGAGACUGCCGGUGACAAACCGGAGGAAGGUGGGGACGACGUCAGAUCAUCAUGCCCCUUAUGACCUGGGCUACACACGUGCUACAAUGGACGGUACAACGAGUCGCGAACUCGCGAGGGCAAGCAAAUCUCUUAAAACCGUUCUCAGUUCGGACUGCAGGCUGCAACUCGCCUGCACGAAGUCGGAAUCGCUAGUAAUCGCGGAUCAGC